GCUUAACACAUGCAAGUCGAACGGAAAGGCCCUGCUUUUGUGGGGUGCUCGAGUGGCGAACGGGUGAGUAACACGUGAGUAACCUGCCCUUGACUUUGGGAUAACUUCAGGAAACUGGGGCUAAUACCGGAUAGGAGCUCCUGCUGCAUGGUGGGGGUUGGAAAGUUUCGGCGGUUGGGGAUGGACUCGCGGCUUAUCAGCUUGUUGGUGGGGUAGUGGCUUACCAAGGCUUUGACGGGUAGCCGGCCUGAGAGGGUGACCGGCCACAUUGGGACUGAGAUACGGCCCAGACUCCUACGGGAGGCAGCAGUGGGGAAUAUUGCACAAUGGGCGGAAGCCUGAUGCAGCAACGCCGCGUGCGGGAUGACGGCCUUCGGGUUGUAAACCGCUUUCGCCUGUGACGAAGCGUGAGUGACGGUAAUGGGUAAAGAAGCACCGGCUAACUACGUGCCAGCAGCCGCGGUGAUACGUAGGGUGCGAGCGUUGUCCGGAUUUAUUGGGCGUGAAGGGCUCGUAGGUGGUUGAUCGCGUCGGAAGUGUAAUCUUGGGGCUUAACCCUGAGCGUGCUUUCGAUACGGGUUGACUUGAGGAAGGUAGGGGAGAAUGGAAUUCCUGGUGGAGCGGUGGAAUGCGCAGAUAUCAGGAGGAACACCAGUGGCGAAGGCGGUUCUCUGGGCCUUUCCUGACGCUGAGGAGCGAAAGCGUGGGGAGCGAACAGGCUUAGAUACCCUGGUAGUCCACGCUGUAAACGGUGGGUACUAGGUGUGGGGUCCAUUCCACGGGUUCCGUGCCGUAGCUAACGCUUUAAGUACCCCGCCUGGGGAGUACGGCCGCAAGGCUAAAACUCAAAGGAAUUGACGGGGCCCCGCACAAGCGGCGGAGCAUGCGGAUUAAUUCGAUGCAACGCGUAGAACCUUACCUGGGUUUGACAUGGAUCGGGAGUGCUCAGAGAUGGGUGUGCCUCUUUUGGGGUCGGUUCACAGGUGGUGCAUGGCUGUCGUCAGCUCGUGUCGUGAGAUGUUGGGUUAAGUCCCGCAACGAGCGCAACCCUUGUUCACUGUUGCCAGCACGUUAUGGUGGGGACUCAGUGGAGACCGCCGGGGUCAACUCGGAGGAAGGUGGGGAUGACGUCAAGUCAUCAUGCCCCUUAUGUCCAGGGCUUCACGCAUGCUACAAUGGCUGGUACAGAGAGUGGCGAGCCUGUGAGGGUGAGCGAAUCUCGGAAAGCCGGUCUCAGUUCGGAUUGGGGUCUGCAACUCGACCUCAUGAAGUCGGAGUCGCUAGUAAUCGCAGAUCAGCAACGCUGCGGUGAAUACGUUCCCGGGGCU
RNAcentral lists this ribosomal RNA (1328 nucleotides) under uncultured bacterium. RNAcentral's name for it is "bacterial SSU rRNA". It matches the Rfam family "Bacterial small subunit ribosomal RNA", at positions 46 to 1381 of the family's 1533-position model. The record is from RNAcentral.